This 433-nucleotide ribosomal RNA is filed under the name uncultured bacterium. RNAcentral's name for it is "partial 16S ribosomal RNA". It matches the Rfam family "Bacterial small subunit ribosomal RNA", at positions 29 to 507 of the family's 1533-position model. The record is from RNAcentral.
AACGAACGCUGGCGGCAUGCCUAACACAUGCAAGUCGAACGAGACCUUCGGGUCUAGUGGCGCACGGGUGCGUAACGCGUGGGAACCUGCCCUUAGGUUCGGAAUAACUCCCCGAAAGGGGUGCUAAUACCGGAUAAUGUCUUCGGACCAAAGAUUUAUCGCCUUUGGAUGGGCCUGCGUUGGAUUAGCUAGUUGGUAGGGUAAAAGCCUACCAAGGCGACGAUCCAUAGCUGGUCUGAGAGGAUGAUCAGCCACACUGGGACUGAGACACGGCCCAGACUCCUACGGGAGGCAGCAGUGGGGAAUAUUGGACAAUGGGCGAAAGCCUGAUCCAGCAAUGCCGCGUGAGUGAUGAAGGCCUUAGGGUUGUAAAGCUCUUUUACCCGGGAUGAUAAUGACAGUACCGGGAGAAUAAGCCCCGGCUAACUACGUG